UCAUAAGAAAUGCCAAGUAUAGGAGACUGUGUUUUUUUUUUUUUGUAUUUGUUGCAUUUAAAUUGUUGUGUGCGUUGAAGAAUAACCUACCCUGACCAGUUUCUCAGAGUCUCCUCUCCAUUUGCUGACGAUGCUGGAGGCUGAGAUGUUGAAGAAGGUCGUCUUACACUCUGUAGCCACGGCCUUGGCCAGCAGGGUCUUACCUGUACCUAUGCGUCGAAUAUGGCGAAGGUUUACACCAGUGCAGGUGUUACCUGGAGGGCCAUAAAGCAGCAAGCCCUUCCACGGAGACAGGAUGCCUGUGAACAGCUGGGGGUACUGUAAAGACAGAGAAACCAAUCAGGAGCUGAGCUGUGUACAAAGAAAACCUGAUUUGCGUGAUGUAUAGCUGCGUUGGUUCUGCAAAUACCACACACUACAAAUUUGUCUGAAUUGUAGGUGGCAAACAGAGGCUGAGUGAAAUCACCAAACUGACCUUAUUCCCCAAAGAAUGAAUAAUAAUGGAGACAGAAGUUGGGGAUUGUGGGAAGGUGGAUGUACGGCGUUAUUCAAUAAAACAGGCCAGCAGAAUAGAAGAUGGACACAUCAGUCCUCAUCUCUGUCUGUAAAUGUCAAGAGGAUGCAGACAACCUGAUUUGUUGUCAUCAUAUCCAUGAGAGAGAGGUCUAGGUGAUGAUGAUAGAAGUGUGUGUGUCCUCUACUAAUGUGUUUGUAUGGCAGAUUUUAUUUAUAUGUGCAAUCUCUGUAUGCAGCAGCAGCAAAGUAGUGUGAAUGUGGCUGUGUAUAUAAAUUCGACAUGGCAUUACAUGUGUGUGUUCCCUCCACCUUGCCUAUCUAUGCGUGUAUGUGUGUUACCAUAUUAUGCCACAUAUAGAUUUAAUGUCAGCCUAACAGACUGGCCUGACCCCACUGCCCUCCUUGUCUUUAAGCCCUUUAAAGGAGAUGUAUUCAGAAUCGAAGUCCGGCGACCGGAGCGGAAAUACCAGCAUGCCCAGGCAGCGGCCGCACCUUAAUGGGAUAGACGACGGCCUCUUUGACUAAUCGCUUUGCGUCCUCCAGGCCGAUGAUGUCCUCCCACCGCACAUUGGGGCUGUGCAAAUAGAUGUCCUUUAGGGAUGAACAUACACACACAGAGUGAAUGCAUGUGGAAGAUGUCAAGAAAUGUUAGAAUGGACGCACACACAUCCUGGAGCUAUUAGGCUUUUGUAAAUAGGUGUCCUUUAGAAUGAAACAUCCGAUAAGGGAAAUAGAUAGAACCUGGGCCUUCAUUAAUACAACAGAUCAAUUCAUUCACAACAAAGAUCUUUACUGCUCUCUAGUGGACAUACUGGGUAUCCCAUCACUUCAAGCAUAUUUUCAAAUUCUGUGCCACAUGUUAAGCUAAAAUCAUCUCCUCUGUGUGUUUGUUUCUUGUUUGUCAGUGUUUGCAGAAUAGUAUCUUAGUGGGUGUCGUACCCUGCUGAUAAUUGCAGCCAGUUGUCUCAUCUCACCGCUCAUUCCAGAAAAGCCACUGAGGGGCUUCAGCAGCCUUUCCUG
Long non-coding RNA from Micropterus salmoides (largemouth bass), 1536 nucleotides. RefSeq lists it as uncharacterized. The record is from RefSeq and is a predicted model, not a curated record. NCBI's taxonomy places the organism in Eukaryota, Metazoa, Chordata, Actinopteri, Centrarchiformes, Centrarchidae. The transcript is spliced from 3 exons.